GCUAUACUGCAGUCGAGCGAACAGAAGGGAGCUUGCUCCCGGAUGUUAGCGGCGGACGGGUGAGUAACACGUGGGUAACCUGCCUGUAAGACUGGGAUAACUCCGGGAAACCGGAGCUAAUACCGGAUAGUUCCUUGAACCGCAUGGUUCAAGGAUGAAAGACGGUUUCGGCUGUCACUUACAGAUGGACCCGCGGCGCAUUAGCUAGUUGGUGGGGUAAUGGCUCACCAAGGCGACGAUGCGUAGCCGACCUGAGAGGGUGAUCGGCCACACUGGGACUGAGACACGGCCCAGACUCCUACGGGAGGCAGCAGUAGGGAAUCUUCCGCAAUGGACGAAAGUCUGACGGAGCAACGCCGCGUGAGUGAUGAAGGUUUUCGGAUCGUAAAGCUCUGUUGUUAGGGAAGAACAAGUGCGAGAGUAACUGCUCGCACCUUGACGGUACCUAACCAGAAAGCCACGGCUAACUACGUGCCAGCAGCCGCGGUAAUACGUAGGUGGCAAGCGUUGUCCGGAAUUAUUGGGCGUAAAGGGCUCGCAGGCGGUUUCUUAAGUCUGAUGUGAAAGCCCCCGGCUCAACCGGGGAGGGUCAUUGGAAACUGGGAAACUUGAGUGCAGAAGAGGAGAGUGGAAUUCCACGUGUAGCGGUGAAAUGCGUAGAGAUGUGGAGGAACACCAGUGGCGAAGGCGACUCUCUGGUCUGUAACUGACGCUGAGGAGCGAAAGCGUGGGGAGCGAACAGGAUUAGAUACCCUGGUAGUCCACGCCGUAAACGAUGAGUGCUAAGUGNUAGGGGUUUCCGCCCCUUAGUGCUGCAGCUAACGCAUUAAGCACUCCGCCUGGGGAGUACGGUCGCAAGACUGAAACUCAAAGGAAUUGACGGGGCCCGCA
RNAcentral lists this ribosomal RNA (891 nucleotides) under Bacillus pumilus. RNAcentral describes it as "bacterial SSU rRNA". It matches the Rfam family "Bacterial small subunit ribosomal RNA", at positions 48 to 925 of the family's 1533-position model. The record is from RNAcentral. Lineage: Bacteria; Bacillati; Bacillota; Bacilli; Caryophanales; Bacillaceae.